Oncorhynchus kisutch (coho salmon) is the source of this 1675-nucleotide RNA transcript. It is a transcript of the gene named 40S ribosomal protein S24, with no coding region annotated. NCBI's taxonomy places the organism in Eukaryota, Metazoa, Chordata, Actinopteri, Salmoniformes, Salmonidae. The record is from RefSeq and is a predicted model, not a curated record. The transcript is spliced from 5 exons.
CAGGCGUUUGGUUGGCCGGCAUCGGGUCCUUCCUCCUUUUCCUCGUCCCUGAGAGGCUGAUGUCAAGAUGAACGACACAGUGACAGUCAGAACCCGGAAGUUCAUGACAAACCGGCUGCUUCAGAGGAAGCAAAUGGUUGUCGAUGUCCUCCAUCCGGGCAAAGCCACAGUCCCCAAGACUGAGAUCCGGGAGAAGCUGGCCAAAAUGUACAAGACCACCCCUGACGUGGUGUUCGUCUUCGGCUUCAGGACCCAGUUUGGUGGCGGCAAGACGACGGGCUUCGCCAUGGUCUACGACUCUCUCGACUACGCUAAGAAAAACGAGCCCAAGCACAGACUGGCCAGGCACGGUCUCUAUGAGAAGAAGAAGUCCUCCAGAAAACAGCGCAAGGAACGCAAGAACAGAAUGAAGAAAGUACGAGGCACCAAGAAAGCCAGUGUGGGCGCUGCUGGCAAAAAGGUAAUGUGGCCAUUCUCCCUAUGGUACAUUCCUCUUGUUCAAGGGUGGGUGCAUUUUAAUAGUCACAUUUUUACAGUAGCUCCAUUUAUUCUCCUUCAUCUGCACUGUAAAUCAGCAGAGUUGGUAAAUGCAUAAUACUGGAUGGCUGCUUUCACCCAAGCGAAAUUCACAUCAUUGCAGAUGGAGGGAAUAGGGAACUUUUUGAGACUAUUGGAACGCACCCCAAGUUGAACUUAUUUCGUAUUAGUUCAUCAUUAAUUACAUGCAUAUCUUUCCUUCUUCCCAAGUCUGUUAGUGCUGUCUUUAUUUAUACGUUCUUACUGUUUUAAUAUACAUUGUCAUCUUCUCUUAUCUACUGUUCUUCGGGACUGUAGAAGGUAAAUGUUGUUUUCAUCAGUAGACUAACUGCUGUGUGCAGAUACUACUACUUAGGAGUGAUGUUCCUAGCUAAAUCCUGUUAGACUUCAUCCCAAUCUUCCCAUUAUAUAACCAAAAAAGCUACAGUGCCUUUUUACAUGUGGAUUUACAUUGGGUUGAUCCACAUUGGGUUUCAGUUCAGGUACCUACCAGUUGAUACUUAGUUGCUCAUUCUAACUCAUGACACUAAUGUUGGCGAGUGUGAACUGAGCACUAAUAGUGGUUUAGAUUCCAGGUUGAACCGUAUAGUGUGGUCCCGUAUAGUGUGGUCCCUACUCAACAGUAGGUUGCCUAGUGGAUCUCUGAAAGACUAGGAACUAGAGCAGUUUCUCAAUUAAUUCCUUAAAGGACCCCAAUGCAGUACACAUUUUUGUUUUAGCCCAGCACUAACACGCAUAAUUCAACUAAUCAAGUCUCAGUGCUGGGCUAAAACACACAUGUGCAUCCCCAAGAAUCCUGCAGGAAUGUGUGCAUUUAUUGACAUGUCCGCAUCUGGUGCUCAGCAUUCAGUUUUGGCUUUGUAUUAUUUUCCUGGGUGGAAAUGGGCCCCAACUGAAUUAAAUUAAUCUAUGGCUCAAAUCUUAUGCCAUUCAGAGAUCUAGUAUAGGAGUGUGAAUUAUUUUAAAAGUUUAACAUUACUUUCUUCAUCCUUUUGUCUUUUAUUUUGCCCCCCACGGAUUUUUUUUUUUUACAGAAAUGAGGUGUCUGUUACAGUGAGCCUGGAGAAUCAGGGAUGUUCCUCGUGCUCAAGAUGUUCUUGUAUAUUGUCAUCGAAUAAAAAAAACUUUGGAAAAAAAA